Molecule: long non-coding RNA, 2220 nt
Filed under: Cricetulus griseus (Chinese hamster)
Lineage: Eukaryota; Metazoa; Chordata; Mammalia; Rodentia; Cricetidae
Description: lncRNA (ENSCGRG00015029596.1)
Source: RNAcentral
CUUCUCUCUUCCUCCAGAGUCUCCAUGUGAUACACCGGCAAGAGAGGGUGCCAGUGGAAGGCAUACGCUAUAAGAUAAGUCUUAUAAAAUAUAUAGAUUUAUGAUAAUUAAGACUGAGCUAACAGAUGAGGAAUCCUAGUCAAUGGCCAAGCAGCAUUUGUACCUAAUACAAGUCUCUGUGUAUUAUUUGGGGCCCUAACUCCACAGGCAGAACUCGGGCAGCUGGAAAGUGCCCACAUGGCGGUAGGGCUCCCGUGGCUUUUGGCGGAAAGAUUUAUCAUAACAGUUAUUUGCAAAAACUAAACCAAACAAACCACUAAGUUCCUGUAGCCAUUCCUAUUUAAUCAAUAGCAAUUCAAUUUUCACAUUUUUUUUGCAAGAAAAAAUACCUUGGAAUCAUACUUUAACUUCACAAUCACAUCCAAGUAAUUAGUAAAUCCAUUGUGGCUUUACCUCUUUGGGACACUGGUCCAACCCAUCAUGAAUUCUCACCUCACUGCCAGAAAAAUCUGUUUUCUUCUUCCUUUACCCCUGGCAUUUUAGAUUAUGUUAAUAUGCAGCUCAGAUCAUGUCAUUCCUUGGAUCAAAACACCCCAAUGCCUUCCCAGCCUAGAGCAAAAAUUAAAUCCCUUCCUUUGAUCUCCCAGGUCCCACAUGGUUUAGCCUAUGUAUUAAUCGCUCAGAUCUAUCAUCCUCCAGUUUCCUACAUUUCUUCAUGCCUCAAUGGCUUUCUCCUACUCAUCAAAGUGUUUCUACCUCAGGGCUUUUGUUCUUACACUCUUGUCUGAGAUAGUUUUCCAUCACGAAUUGAAAUGACUCACUUAUUACUUCUUAAGGCAGUUGCUUACAUGUCAUCCUCUUGUGAGAGAUCCUUCUUGACAACCUCCCAUGCCUAAAAUGCUGCCUUAUUUUGACACCAUCCUUGCCUUCUCUAUUCUCCCCACUCUUCCUGUUAUACACUCCCCUAAAGUACCCAUUAAUUAGUAACACUGUAUAAAUUUUAGUGUUGUUCCUCUGUUACGUUUUUACUGCACUAGGAUGUAAUCCCCACAGGCACAGAUUUUUGUCAGCUUAACCCCACACUGUUGGCAUUACCAAUGUCCAGAACAGAGCUUACAAGAGUAGGCUUGUCAUAAACUUUACUAUGAGUACCAAGUAUCAGUGUUAUUUUGAUGACACAUGAAUGAGCAUAUGACAUUGAAACUGUGUCUGGCAAGUGCUAGGCUUUCAUUAUGUAGUUGACCCAGCAUACAAAGAGCAAUGCAAUAAAACAAUCCAGAAACAAGUAGUUGGUAACUUAGUAUAUUAGUAUAUGAUAUGAUAAAUAAUUCUUUUCAAAAUUAGGAAAGAGUUAAGUUUUAGAGUAAUCUGCUAGUUAUUUGUAGAUAAAAAGUAAAAUUCACCUACUUUGAUAACUUGUUUUGAAAUGCACUCUUUAUAUAGCAAAUAUUCAAAUGAAAAGCUCUAGAAAUAUUAGAAGAAAAUGAACAAAUACAGGCCUCAGGAGACUAGGUAUCUAGAGAAUUUCUGACAUAAUAAAUAGGACAAGCAGAAAAAAGUAAUGGAAUCUUGAAAUUCGCAGGCAAAUGGAUGGAACUAGAGGAAACCAUCCUGAGUGAGGUAACCCAGUCACAAAAAGAUAAACAUGAGCCUUCAUCCAGUAGCUGUUCAAAGCAGAAACAGGCACCCACAACUAAGCACUGAACCAUACUCCUGGAAUCCAGUUGUGGAGAGGAAGGAGGGAUGAGGAAAGGAGCCAAGACGGUGCUGCAGAAACCUGCAGAAACAGUUGACCUGACCUAGUGAGAGCAUGGAGACCCUAGUCAUAAAGCUGGGGAACCAGCAUUGGACUGAACCAAGCCUUCUGAAUGUGGGUGCCAGCUAGGAGGCCAAGACAGUCUAUGGGACCUCUAACAGUGAAGCCAGUCUUUAACCCUAGAGCACAAAUGGACUUUGGGAGCCCAUUCCCUAUGGAGGGAUACUAUUGCAGCCCAGAUACAGCAAGGAGGGCCGAGGCCCUCCCCCAAAUGAUAUGACAGACUUUGAAGUUCCCUGGUGGAGGGCCUCACUAUCCCUGGGGAAAAGUUGGAGGAUGGGUUAGGGGUGUUGGUGGGGAGCAUGGGAGGAUGGGAGGGUGAGGGAAUAGGGAGAUGGAUAUGUAAAUAGGAGUAGUAAUUAAAGAAUAAAAAAAAGAGUUCACCUUAAUCACUAGAAUUAAAC